This 279-nucleotide ribosomal RNA is filed under the name uncultured bacterium. RNAcentral's name for it is "partial 16S ribosomal RNA". It matches the Rfam family "Bacterial small subunit ribosomal RNA", at positions 506 to 784 of the family's 1533-position model. The record is from RNAcentral.
UGCCAGCAGCCGCGGUAAUACGGAAGAUACAAGCGUUGUUCGGAAUUAUUGGGCUUAAAGCGCGUGUAGGCGGGACAGUAAGUAUUUUGUGAAAUCCCUCGGCUCAACUGAGGAAUUGCAGGAUAUACUGCUGUUCUUGAGGCAAUCAGGGGCACCCGGAACUCUAGGUGGAGCGGUGAAAUGCGUAGAUAUCUAGAGGAACGCCGGUGGCGAAAGCGGGGUGCUGGGAUUGUUCUGACGCUGAGACGCGAAAGCGUAGGUAGCGAACGGGAUUAGAUA